GACGAACGCUGGCGGCGUGCCUAAUACAUGCAAGUAGAACGCUGAAGAGAGGAGCUUGCUCUUCUUGGAUGAGUUGCGAACGGGUGAGUAACGCGUAGGUAACCUGCCUUGUAGCGGGGGAUAACUAUUGGAAACGAUAGCUAAUACCGCAUAACAAUGGAUGACACAUGUCAUUUAUUUGAAAGGGGCAAUUGCUCCACUACAAGAUGGACCUGCGUUGUAUUAGUUAGUAGGUGAGGUAAUGGCUCACCUAGGCGACGAUACAUAGCCGACCUGAGAGGGUGAUCGGCCACACUGGGACUGAGACACGGCCCAGACUCCUACGGGAGGCAGCAGUAGGGAAUCUUCGGCAAGGGGGGCAACCCUGACCGAGCAACGCCGCGUGAGUGAAGAAGGUUUUCGGAUCGUAAAGCUCUGUUGUAAGUCAAGAACGGGUGUGAGAGUGGAAAGUUCACACUGUGACGGUAGCUUACCAGAAAGGGACGGCUAACUACGUG
RNAcentral lists this ribosomal RNA (497 nucleotides) under uncultured bacterium. RNAcentral describes it as "partial 16S ribosomal RNA". It matches the Rfam family "Bacterial small subunit ribosomal RNA", at positions 28 to 507 of the family's 1533-position model. The record is from RNAcentral.